This 856-nucleotide ribosomal RNA is filed under the name Marimicrobium sp. RNAcentral describes it as "bacterial SSU rRNA". It matches the Rfam family "Bacterial small subunit ribosomal RNA", at positions 19 to 873 of the family's 1533-position model. Lineage: Bacteria; Pseudomonadati; Pseudomonadota; Gammaproteobacteria; Cellvibrionales; Halieaceae. The record is from RNAcentral.
CCUGCUCAGAUUGAACGCUGGCGGCAGGCCUAACACAUGCAAGUCGAGCGAGAAAGCACUUCGGUGUGAGUACAGCGGCGGACGGGUGAGUAACGCGUAGGAAUCUACCUGGUAGUGGGGGACAACAUGUGGAAACGCAUGCUAAUACCGCAUACGACCUAAGGGUGAAAGUGGGGGACCUUCGGGCCUCACGCUAUCGGAUGAGCCUGCGUAGGAUUAGCUUGUUGGUGAGGUAAGAGCUCACCAAGGCGACGAUCCUUAGCUGGUCUGAGAGGAUGAUCAGCCACACUGGGACUGAGACACGGCCCAGACUCCUACGGGAGGCAGCAGUGGGGAAUAUUGCGCAAUGGGCGAAAGCCUGACGCAGCCAUGCCGCGUGUGUGAAGAAGGCCUUAGGGUUGUAAAGCACUUUCAAUUGGGAAGAAAGGUUGUACGUUAAUAGCGUGCAGCUGUGACAUUACCUUUAGAAGAAGGACCGGCUAACUCCGUGCCAGCAGCCGCGGUAAUACGGAGGGUCCGAGCGUUAAUCGGAAUUACUGGGCGUAAAGCGCGCGUAGGCGGCUUGUUAAGUCGGAUGUGAAAGCCCUGGGCUCAACCUGGGAACUGCAUUCGAUACUGGCUAGCUAGAGUGCAAGAGAGGGAGGUAGAAUUCCAUGUGUAGCGGUGAAAUGCGUAGAUAUAUGGAGGAAUACCAGUGGCGAAGGCGGCCUCCUGGCUUGACACUGACGCUGAGGUGCGAAAGCGUGGGGAGCAAACGGGAUUAGAUACCCCGGUAGUCCACGCCGUAAACGAUGUCUACUAGCCGUUGGGAAACUUGAUUUCUUAGUGGCGCAGCUAACGCACUAAGUAGACCGCC